Molecule: microRNA precursor, 103 nt
Filed under: Marmota monax (woodchuck)
Lineage: Eukaryota; Metazoa; Chordata; Mammalia; Rodentia; Sciuridae
Source: RNAcentral
AGUAGAUUUGCCAGGUCAUAUGAGCAGUGUGGGAGCAACCUUACAAUUAAUGGCCAAAGUGUUUUCCAAAGUGGCUGUAUCAUUUUACAUUCUUAUUAGCAAU